Molecule: non-coding RNA, 192 nt
Organism: Oryza nivara
Lineage: Eukaryota; Viridiplantae; Streptophyta; Magnoliopsida; Poales; Poaceae
Source: Rfam
AAUAAAUGCAGUUUUAUAUUAUUUAUGUCUAAUGUUUGACCGUUUAUCUUAUUUGAAAAAAAUUGUAAUUAGUAUUUUUGUAGUUAUUAGAUGAUAAAACAUGAAUAGUACUUUAUGUGUGACUACUUUUUUUUAUAAAUUUUAAGAUAGACGGUCAAACGUUAGACACGGAUAUCUACAGCUGCACUUGUU